This 246-nucleotide unclassified non-coding RNA is filed under the name uncultured Schizothecium. Its description in RNAcentral is "sequence contains ITS2". The record is from RNAcentral. Lineage: Eukaryota; Fungi; Ascomycota; Sordariomycetes; Sordariales; Lasiosphaeriaceae.
AACGCACAUUGCGCCCGCUAGUAUUCUGGCGGGCAUGCCUGUUCGAGCGUCAUUUCAACCAUCAAGCGCCUGCGCUUGUGUUGGAGCCCUGCGGCUGCCGCAGGCUCCCAAACCCAGUGGCGGGCUCGUCGUCGUACCGAGUGCAGUAAACUUACCACGCUCAGGGCGCGCGACGGGUGACCGGCCGUAAAACCCCAACUUCUCAAGGUUGACCUCGGAUCAGGUAGGAAUACCCGCUGAACUUAA